Molecule: unclassified non-coding RNA, 118 nt
Filed under: Homo sapiens (human)
Lineage: Eukaryota; Metazoa; Chordata; Mammalia; Primates; Hominidae
Source: RNAcentral
GGCCGGGCGCGGUAGCUCACGCCUGUAAUCCUAGCACUUUGGGAGGCCGAGGCGGGUGGAUCGCGAGGUCAGGAGUUCAAGACCAGCCUGGCCAAUAUGGUGAAACCCCGUCUCUACU